This 497-nucleotide ribosomal RNA is filed under the name uncultured bacterium. RNAcentral describes it as "partial 16S ribosomal RNA". It matches the Rfam family "Bacterial small subunit ribosomal RNA", at positions 28 to 507 of the family's 1533-position model. The record is from RNAcentral.
GAUGAACGCUGGCGGCGUGCCUAAUACAUGCAAGUCGAGCGAACAGACGAGGAGCUUGCUCCUCUGACGUUAGCGGCGGACGGGUGAGUAACACGUGGAUAACCUACCUAUAAGACUGGUAUAAUUUCGGGAAACCGGAUCUAAUACCGGAUAAUAUAUUGAACCGCAUGGUUCAAUAGUGAAAGACGGUUUUGCUGUCACUUAUAGAUGGAUCCGCGCCGCAUUAGCUAGUUGGUAAGGUAACGGCUUACCAAGGCAACGAUGCGUAGCCGACCUGAGAGGGUGAUCGGCCACCCUGGAACUGAGACACGGUCCAGACUCCUACGGGAGGCAGCAGUAGGGAAUCUUCCGCAAUGGGCGAAAGCCUGACGGAGCAACGCCGCGUGAGUGAUGAAGGUCUUCGGAUCGUAAAACUCUGUUAUUAGGGAAGAACAAAUGUGUAAGUAACUAUGCACGUCUUGACGGUACCUAAUCAGAAAGCCCCGGCUAACUACGUG